This 1001-nucleotide long non-coding RNA is filed under the name Rhinopithecus bieti (black snub-nosed monkey). RNAcentral describes it as "lncRNA (ENSRBIG00000045109.1)". Lineage: Eukaryota; Metazoa; Chordata; Mammalia; Primates; Cercopithecidae. The record is from RNAcentral.
UGGCAUUCUGUGGGCAGGAUGUGACAAGUAAAACCAUGUGGUCAUCUGUAAUGUGAUAGUUGCAAUGAGAGGAGAGUUAGUAGGAUGAGGCUGCAGCAGGGGAGAGCAAGCAGGGCAGGUCAGGGCCCUGCUCAUUGCUCACCAGUGGGGAUCUGACACAUGUGAGCAAGGAGUGGACGAUCUUCAAUGGUGGGAAGCAGCAUGAGACCUGACAGGCCCAAGACAUUUCCAUGGGCCUUUGGAAAGCUUUCAAACUGGAGGUCUCCUGCCUCUCGAUGGAGAAGCCCUGGUGGCAGCAAGCCUUUUCAGCCAGGCCAACACCCAUCCCUUGCCUCAACCAGAGGACCACUGAGGCUGACCUGGCGAGGUGGACCCUUUGGGAAGACUGCUGUUGGUGAGGUCCACAUUAGGGUAGAUUUAGGGGCAUGCUCCUUCUACUUUUUUCGUUAUCUCUUUUGCCUUCUCUCCUGCCUAUGACUUUGUCCAUCAAUGGCAGCCAAGAGAAGCCAGCGGCUCCCUUAGACCCAGUCCACUCAGCUGGUGCCACUGAAGACAUUUCUGAUCUCAGUGAAAACAUCAUGCAAGAAGAGCUGACCACAAACCAACACUUGUGGAAAUAAAGCUGAUUAUGUAGACACUUUGAUUAAAACUGGGAAUACAAAAUGCUUGCCAUGUAUUCUUUACAAAACCAGCAUCCUAAUGUCUUUUCAGAGUAGCCAAUGUGGAAUGAGCUGCUGAACUUUUGUCCUUGAUAAAGCUGUAGUGAGUGCACAGACUGCUGGAAUUUUCAUGUUAGAUGGCAUCAGAGGUGUGUUCAGCUCCACUGCUAUUGCCUCUCCACAGAAUGCCUUUUUGCUGUCUGCCUGGUGGCUGCAUCCCUCCCAUCUCAGCUGCAAAUCACCUCCUGUGAUUCCUUGACUUCUCUGAGACUGAAUGCUCUUUCUUUUGUGCUCCCAGUGACUUUAAUAGUGUUCACAUAUCCAUUAAAGCAUUGUCCACCU